Molecule: ribosomal RNA, 301 nt
Filed under: uncultured bacterium
Lineage: Bacteria
Description: partial 16S ribosomal RNA
Rfam family: Bacterial small subunit ribosomal RNA
Source: RNAcentral
CAGUAGCCGCGGGAAUACGAAGGGGGCUAGCGUUGUUCGGAUUUACUGGGCGUAAAGGGCGCGUAGGCGGACUGAUAAGUCAGGGGUGAAAUCCCAAGGCUCAACCUUGGAACUGCCUUUGAUACUGUUUGUCUUGAGUUCGAGAGAGGUAAGUGGAACUGCGAGUGUAGAGGUGAAAUUCGUAGAUAUUCGCAAGAACACCAGUGGCGAAGGCGGCUUACUGGCUCGAAACUGACGCUGAGGCGCGAAAGCGUGGGGAGCAAACAGGAUUAGAGACCCCUGUAGUCCCUGUCUCUUAUAC